Molecule: long non-coding RNA, 782 nt
Filed under: Homo sapiens (human)
Lineage: Eukaryota; Metazoa; Chordata; Mammalia; Primates; Hominidae
Description: HSALNT0393662
Source: RNAcentral
CUCUCACUGCAAUGUGGAAAACAGAAAAGAGAUGUGGAAGAGUGGCAGUCAUGUAGCUAAGAGGUUUUCACGGUAAUCCAGGCCUUGAGACCAGAGGAUACAAUCAAUGGAGUGUGGCAAGAAAGGAGAACCAAGGGCUAAAUCUUGUGGAAUUUUAAAUGAAGCUAGCAGAAGAUGUCAUGCAUCAAAAUGAGAAAUAAUCUUUAAAAAGAGGAUGACAUGGGAUCAAAAAUCAGGAGUUCCAACACAAGAGAAGAAAAUAAUCAAGAUGCUGCUUAAAGGAAGAUCAAGGAUGACAACCAGCUUAGAGAACAACCAUUCAGAUCAGCGGACAGAGGACUAUAGGAAAUUUGUCCCCAAGAAAAAAUAAUAGGCUACUGAGAUAUUUGAAUAAUGUACAUUUCUUCUGGAAAUUUCAGGGGUGAUAGUAUAUACAAAUCUAAGAAAACAAAUAAAUAAGCGAGCAGAGAAAAUCAUGCAGUGUCAAGCUGCACAAACUUCAAACUCAGCAUACGUUAAAAGCAUGUGUUAGAGUUGGUUGUGUAUAAUAUAUCUAAUGGCAAAUUGGUUUAAAAUUGAAUAUUGCAAAAUUGGGAAUUAUUCAUAUGAGCUUAAAAGUGUUGUCAAGAUUUUAGGGAAGCAAUCCACUGUCCUCCUUCAUUCAAGGACUUGUUUUGUGCUCUCUCUGCCUGAAAUGCUCUUCCCCAAGAUGUUUGGUUGACUUACUGUCUUAAUCAUUCAGGUCUUUGCUCAAGCAUCACUUCUUUGCUUAAUUUAUUAAA